Phrynosoma platyrhinos (Desert horned lizard) is the source of this 71-nucleotide non-coding RNA. The record is from the annotation of a GenBank genome assembly. Lineage: Eukaryota; Metazoa; Chordata; Lepidosauria; Squamata; Phrynosomatidae.
GCCAGCGUGGCACAGUGGUUUGAGCAUUGGACUCCGAUUCUGGAGACCAAGGUUUGAUUCCCUGCUUGGCC